GUUCAGUUCAGAGUUAGUGGCGAGUAGAUGCGAUCCAGCUGACCUUAUGGUUCUAGAUUUGACUGUGUGAUGUCAUUCUAGGGCGGAUUGAUGCAUUACUCCUGGUACUACCUGUGUCCGCAGAGACAAGGUAGGAGAGUUUAUAGUUGCAGAUGGAUCAGAGUAGUCCUUUUAGGGGGACAGAGUAUAGCUGCCUAGAAGGUGAUGUCAGCCCUGCAGGCUCA
Molecule: long non-coding RNA, 224 nt
Filed under: Manihot esculenta (cassava)
Lineage: Eukaryota; Viridiplantae; Streptophyta; Magnoliopsida; Malpighiales; Euphorbiaceae
Description: long non-coding RNA (MESC_LNC006656)
Source: RNAcentral